CCUACGGGUGGCAGCAGUGAGGAAUAUUGGUCAAUGGACGAGAGUCUGAACCAGCCAAGUAGCGUGAAGGAUGACUGCCCUCUGGGUUGUAAACUUCUUUUAUAUGGGAAUAAAAUAUUCCACGUGUGGGAUUUUGUAUGUACCAUAUGAAUAAGGAUCGGCUAACUCCGUGCCAGCAGCCGCGGUAAUACGGAGGAUCCGAGCGUUAUCCGGAUUUAUUGGGUUUAAAGGGAGCGUAGGUGGAUUGUUAAGUCAGUUGUGAAAGUUUGCGGCUCAACCGUAAAAUUGCAGUUGAAACUGGCAGUCUUGAGUACAGUAGAGGUGGGCGGAAUUCGUGGUGUAGCGGUGAAAUGCUUAGAUAUCACGAAGAACUCCGAUUGCGAAGGCAGUUCACUGGACUGCAACUGACACUGAGGCUCGAAAGUGUGGGUAUCAAACAGGAUUAGAUACCCCUGUAGUC
RNAcentral lists this ribosomal RNA (460 nucleotides) under uncultured bacterium. Its description in RNAcentral is "partial 16S ribosomal RNA". It matches the Rfam family "Bacterial small subunit ribosomal RNA", at positions 338 to 795 of the family's 1533-position model. The record is from RNAcentral.